ACGGAAAUUUUCCAUCGCAAAUUGGGGGCGGAUAAUUAAAUGUCCCUAAAUUAAAAAUCCGAGACCCCUUCCCACGCGCGCUCAAAUCUCAAACAAUUUGAUGAGUUUUGAGAAAUCGUUCCCGAUCAAAACGAUAGAGUGCUUCUUCACCCUUCUCUUUGUGCAGAGAGAGAGGAAAAGCGUUUCUGCCCUGGCUCUGAACACAGCAGAAAACCCUACUUUUCGCGCAUAGAGAGAAGAGACCAGAUCCGCCUCCGCCCUUGGUUCUGAACACAGGCAGAAAACCCUGCUAUUCGCGCAUAAAGAGAAGAGACCAGAUUCGCGCCUCCGCCCUGGUUCUGAACAUAGUUAUGUCUCUUUUGGUUUUGAACACAGAAAACCAUGCUAUUUGCUCACGAGCUACUCCUCCGCCCAAAUCGUUACUUCAUGGGCUUUCUUCACCAAAAUUUCAGGCACGCCCCUUGUUCAACGACUACCGGAAGUUUUCAAAACUGGCAGAUCCUCGGUUACAAGGUCGAUACCCAAUGCAAUAUUUAUACUUCAUUUCCAAGUAUUUGCUUGUUAGUUUUCCAGACUCUGUUUCUGUUCGGAAGGUAAGAUACUAGUUCGUGUUUAUGCUUGGGAUUUUCUUUUUUGCUUCUCUUUUUUGUUUUGAGUCUGACUUUUGAAAGAGAUCAUUAUUUAAUGAAAAAUUAGCUGCAGUUCAAACUUUUUUUUA
Macadamia integrifolia is the source of this 718-nucleotide long non-coding RNA. RefSeq lists it as uncharacterized. Lineage: Eukaryota; Viridiplantae; Streptophyta; Magnoliopsida; Proteales; Proteaceae. The transcript is spliced from 5 exons. The record is from RefSeq and is a predicted model, not a curated record.